UUGAAUAAACCCUGGUCGGGUUGCUGCUGGCCUCUAGGGGCAUGUGCACGCUCGACCACCGUUUUCUAACCACCUGUGCACCUUUUGUAGACCUUGGUUUGGGGGGUUGCUGACGCUGUCAAAGCCGGCUCUCCCUGUUCACCUUCAAGGUCUAUGAUCUUAUACACCACAAAGUAGUAACAGAAUGUCUUUUGAGGGCCUCAGUGCCUUUAACUUUAAUA
This 221-nucleotide unclassified non-coding RNA is filed under the name uncultured Agaricales. RNAcentral's name for it is "sequence contains ITS1". Lineage: Eukaryota; Fungi; Basidiomycota; Agaricomycetes; Agaricales. The record is from RNAcentral.